UUCACAACAUAACCUUUUGAAGAAUUUAUUUAGUAUUAUUAACGUAGUUUUUAGAGUGUUUUUAGUGUUUUGUUUACAGCUGUCAUAGCAACAGAACUAACAGGCGCCGGGAGGAACAAGAGCGACUGCAGUCCUAGUUAGCUGAGGUUUUAUGUACAUAUUGUUUAAUUUACAUUAGUUAUCAGUUAUGAAUAUGUUACCUGUGAUCUGUUUAGCCAUAGGUAUUUCUGUGAGAAUGUUUAUGUACAGAAGAAAAAAAAGAAAUACAAAUCCAUUGUAUAUUGUACAGUAAAAUACUGGAUAGCAAUGAAGUGUGUAGAAGGGUAAAAAAACAAGUUGUGUCUUUAUAUGGAAGGAUAAAAGAAACUGUUCAUUACAGAAAUAAGCAUGUUGACAAAUGAAUGCCAAAAAAAUAACAUUGACCCAAUGUCUAAUAAAGAACAGAUUCCAGGAGGAUUUGAGAAGUUCGGAGUUGUGUCUGCCUCGUUACUUUAACCUGUUCUAUCCUGUUAACAGGAAAAUUCAACAUCUGUUACACCAACACCAGCCCUGGUGCGUGUAACAUAUAGACUAAUGGAUGAAAAACAUAGUGAGAUAUUACCAUCUAACUGUCUGCCAACCUUAGGUCUACAGAUAGAGGAAACAGCAUCAAGGGCACAAGCGGGUCCAGCAGCACCUUUUGCCACCUAGAGUAUUUUUUCAUAGGUGAUUCAUAGGCCUGAACCCAGAAAGGACAAAAGCUACAAACAGAAAAGAGACAUGAAAACCAACAGGAACAUGCAGUGAACAUGUGUCUCCAUUCUCCUCCUUCAUGGACUACCAGUGGAACUUUUGAAAUGCAACCAGAUGAUUUCUGGAGACGUUCAGGACUGAGACCAACUCAGAACUCAUCCAUGUUGGUUUUGUUUGGCUGUUCACUAAGUCUUAAACUUGUCCAAAUGUUUAAGAUGUACUGUUGGGGUUCCAAUAAAGUUUUGAAAAAUAUGUAACUUCCAAAUUUGA
Molecule: long non-coding RNA, 1002 nt
Organism: Poecilia reticulata (guppy)
Lineage: Eukaryota; Metazoa; Chordata; Actinopteri; Cyprinodontiformes; Poeciliidae
Source: RefSeq, a predicted model, not a curated record